Molecule: transfer RNA, 52 nt
Filed under: Larryleachia cactiformis
Lineage: Eukaryota; Viridiplantae; Streptophyta; Magnoliopsida; Gentianales; Apocynaceae
Description: partial tRNA-His
Source: RNAcentral
GAGAGCGAGGGGGCGGAUGUAGCCAAGUGGAUCAAGGCAGUGGAUUGGGAAU